RNAcentral lists this ribosomal RNA (466 nucleotides) under uncultured bacterium. RNAcentral describes it as "partial 16S ribosomal RNA". It matches the Rfam family "Bacterial small subunit ribosomal RNA", at positions 28 to 507 of the family's 1533-position model. The record is from RNAcentral.
GACGAACGCUGGCGGCGUGCUUAACACAUGCAAGUCGAACGGAAAGGCCCUGCUUGCCGGGUACUCGAGUGGCGAACGGGUGAGUAACACGUGGGUGAUCUGCCCUGCACUUCGGGAUAAGCCUGGGAAACUGGGUCUAAUACCGGAUAGGAGCCAUUUUUAGUGUGAUGGUUGGAAAGUUUUUUUCGGUGUAGGAUGAGCUCGCGGCCUAUCAGCUUGUUGGUGGGGUAAUGGCCUACCAAGGCGGCGACGGGUAGCCGGCCUGAGAGGGUGGACGGCAACAUUGGGACUGAGAUACGGCCCAGACUCCUACGGGAGGCAGCAGUGGGGAAUAUUGCACAAUGGGCGCAAGCCUGAUGCAGCGACGCCGCGUGGGGGAUGACGGCCUUCGGGUUGUAAACGCCUUUCGCUAGGGACGAAGCUUUUUGUGACGGUACCUAGAGAAGAAGCACCGGCUAACUACGUG